RNAcentral lists this transfer RNA (62 nucleotides) under Hiratettix distanti. RNAcentral's name for it is "tRNA-Gly". Lineage: Eukaryota; Metazoa; Arthropoda; Insecta; Hemiptera; Cicadellidae. The record is from RNAcentral. RNAcentral also lists the same sequence under 2 other names.
AUUUAUUUAAUAUAUUUAGUAUAAUAAGCUUCCAACUUAUAAGAUUCCAAGGAAAAUAAAUA